GGCUCUUGAAUAUAUAGCAUCAUUUGGCAGCUUUCAUACAUGAAGAGCUGAGGUUAUUUUAUUUUAUUUUAGCAGAGAAAAACAAAUAGCGGAAGAUGUGCAAACAGCAGCCCCAGUGAGGAGGAGAAGGAAAGAGAGAAGGUAAGGGCUGCAUCUAUGGAAUUUCUCAUGAGAUGAUGAGACAUGAGCUACUGGAAAAUUUUCUGUGCUUUUCUGUGUCUGUGUCUCUUCUAGCCCAUGCUUCUGCAGAGGGCACACAGUAACACAAGUUUUCAGUGCCAGUGAAUGUAUAAAAUAGAGAACACUCUGAGCAUGUCUCCUCACAAAAAAAGUGGCUGGACUUGUUUUUCCCUCCUUUAUAGUAUACCCUCCCUGUGCCCAGCUCAAACAGGAACAAACUUCAUGAGUUAUCCUGUAAAUCCCAAGAUUGAGAAAGUCCCUCAAUAUUUUCUUUUGAAGAUCUCCAAUAUGAGAAGCAAUAAGGUAGUCGGGAAAUGGGUUGGGUACUGGAAAAACCGGAGUCCUAGUUAGUGUUCUCUUAAUAGAGUUUGGGCAAAAAUUUACCUGUCUCUGUUUUCUUAUUUGUAAAACAGGCAAACUAGAUGUAUAUCUAAGUAAGUAUUUUCUCUUGGUCCCCAGCUUCUAAUAGUGACCUGGAUCAUAAGUAAUUAAAGAAAACAAACAAGACAGUGCUGUAGAAAACCGGACAGUGAAGAACAUAAUCUCAGUUAAGGUAUUAUUGGUACCACAUCUAGAAAGGCCAGUGAAUCUGAUGUGUCUUCAUGAACAAGCAUUUCCCCUGCUCUAUAUUUAGAGCUGUGUCAUGGAAUUGGAAUGAAUACGCCUUGGAGUUUUCUUAGCUCUACUUGGGGACACAUAGUUUUGUAAACUUACUGUUAUAAACCAAUUUUCCUGGAAGGGACUUCAGCAUGUGGAUGACCCCGUGGGUAUUCAGUUAUUGGCUGGUGUCUUUCCUCUGAAUCAGAGCUAAAAAAUAUAUUUUAAAUAAACACUUGUUUUCUGGCUUGUUGAAGGUCUUACAUUUUUUAAAAAAAAUAUUUCUCUUUGCAUAAUAUGAAACCUGUAUAUUAGGUCAAAUUUGGGUACUUUGAUCUAUUUGCAUGUAUACCAAUGUAGUCUGUAGACACACACGUGACUCUCGUUGGUUUACUGGGAAUUGUAUUGAGCUGGCAAUGCCUUUCUGUGUCCCUCACUCAUUUGCUUCCAAAGAUAGAAUACUGCUGCAGAUUAAAGGAUAAGACUAUUUUUGAUCUCAACACCAAAGAACUCUCUCUGUGCAAAGAAACCAAGUAGACCCAAGGCCAUAGUUGUAUAAUCAUAAAAAAGAGUGGCUGAAUUGUUUUUGUCCCUCUCCUCACUAAUGUGGGCACCAAGAUACUUUGCUGAAGGCCUUUGAUUACUUAUGUACCUUGAUGCCAACUUUACAAGGACAAGGACCAGUUGAAUUAGGGAGUUAGUUGUUUCUAGUUCUCUAAGUAGAGAUUCAGCCUCACAUGAUAAUAACUCGCAAAAAAGUUCAAUUUGACAACCUGUAAAUCUUAAAUUUAGUUUAUCUCAAAUUCAUGUCCUGGUCCCAUUUAGGAAAAAUGGGCUUGUUUUCUCUUUUCUUUUCUCAUUUGAAUUGUUCUUUUCUGUCCAAACCCAAAACCUUAACUCCACCUCUGAAUAUUAUUUUUUUCUUUUAGAUGUUAGCAGUAAUCUAAACAGGCUGUAAUUUUUUUCUCUUAUAGUCUGAUUUUUAUCUUAUAUCUGUUACACCAAUUAGUAGAGGUUCUCAGAUUUUCAUACCUAAACAGGGGAGUAACCCUCCAAAUGAGUUCCCUUUUCCACUAUACCUAACAUACACACACACACACACACACACUUUUUGUAUAGACCUAAUACUACUAUUCUUUGAUACAGGACUCUUUUCUAGUUACUCUUCAAUGACUAAUGCCUUAACCUCAUUUAAAAAAAUAUUUUCUAGCUGCAGAUGGACACAAUACCUGUAUUUAUUUAUUCAUUUUUAUGUGGUGCGGAGGAUUGAACCCAGUGCCUCACACAUGUGAGGCAGGCACUCUACCACUGAGCUACAGCCCCAGCCCCCUUAACCUUAUUUUUUCACCCAGAAUGAGACUCUGAUACAUUUCAACUCACUUUCAUCAGCAUGUUUAUUUUGAGACCAUGAAGAAACCAAUAAACACUUUUCCCUUGGAUACUAAUUUAACCUUUGGCAGUUACUGUAUGCUUCAUCAUUCCUAUUUGAGAAAGUAUAAAACAUUCAGAGAAGUCUUCUAGGAGUUAUUAGAAUUAUUAAAAUGAUCAUAUGAGGAUGAUAAAGCUGCUCAAGAAGUUGAGUAUGGAGGUAGAUAAUAAUAAUAGUAGUAAUAGCAGUAAUAUUGGUGUAGUUAUCAAUGAUUGUCACUAUGUGCCAGAAAAUAUUCUGUACUUUUUUUUUUCAUUGACUUAAUUCUACAGCAACACUCUGAGGUUGGUCCUUGGUAUCUCACAGAUGUGAAAACAGAGGUUUUGACAGGCUCAGUACAAAGAGGUGCAUGCUUUAAUAAAGUCCCAAAGGAUUGCAAAAUCCCAGCAGCAGAGAUAAGCUAUCCAGCUGGAAGAAAGUUGUAAAAAGAAGUCAUAAAAUAGAGGAAAAUGACUGGGGAUUUUUCAUUUAAUUAAUUAAAAAUGUGACAUUGUUCAGUCUUAUAUAACUAUAGUUCUAUGAGUUCAUGAUUGUGUUUUUAACUGGGUGAUCAGCUCCUUGAGGAUCAAUAUUAAUUCUUUUUGUCUCCUGUAUAAGGGCUAACCUAGUGCUUUUCACAAAGUGGAAAUACUUUACUUAAAAAAUACUUUUUCUUGUUUCGAGCAGUGAGAUCCUGUGUUUCAGCUUUUGUGGUUGCUACUGUUCUAGAUACAUAUCUGAAGGUAGUCUGCUUAUAUGGAAAUAGGUUAGUAUACACUAACUGUAUAUAUAAUAUAUUUAUUUCUGUUUAAGAAUGUUUAAACAAUCUUAAAAAUGGGAUGGGAGGAAUCUUUGGAAAAUAAAAAAAAGAAUAGGUUAAGACUCUCCUCCCCAUGGACAAAAUAGGUUAGUAUAUACAUUUAUAUGCUAAUAUAAAUGUAAAUUAUGAUAUAUACCAAUAUAAAAUAAAUUAUGAUAUUUUCUGUUUUUAGUUUAUCAUGAAAUAUUUUUGGACCUGUCAUUCUCUGUUUAUUCCAAUCAUAAUUAUUUGCUAAGCAGUGUUUGGUUUACAAUUGAAAGGAUUAGAGCUGGUAUAGGUAAGGUGAUGUGAGUUGCCAAAGAUUUUCACAGAAUCAUGGUUCUCUGGAGUUCCUCAUUUUGGUAAGUGUGUCUUUGUUAGAGUUUCAGUGACUUUCAUUGGAAGGAUUAAGUAGGAUUAAAUAAAAAAAACAAAGUGAUUAUAACAGUCCAAUACAUCAUAGUGCUAUGUAAGUCUUAAAAGUCAUUGUUGUCAUCUUCACCAUCAUCACCAUCAACAUCAUCUUCACUCAUGUCCUUCCAUUUCUAGUUGUCAGUAAACAUCACUGUUGAAAAUGGUUCCUAAACUAACAUCAAUGUUGCACUUGGUGGUGUGGCCUUAGUAGAGGAUUUACAACCUUAGAUUUCAUACACUUAGUGGAUACACUUCAUUAAUGUACUACUGGUACCAUUGUUUCUCAUGCAUCUUAUGUAACAUUUUUGAGGGGCAGUAUAGUGUCCUCUUCUUGAAGAAAGUAUGUGAUACUCCCUGCACAAACCUCCUUUUACCUCCAACUCGAUCUUAUACUAUUCAAUAUCCUUGAUUCAAAACUGGAUUCUAUUUACAUGCCAUUUAAUAAAUUCAACUAUUUUUUUAAGUUCAUAUUAAAGUUAGUGAAAAUUAAUAGUCCUGAAACAUUAGAACUAAAAUUAAAUUUGUGGAUGAUAAGCAACAAUUUUUUACAAAUUAUUUUAUUCUUUAAUUUAAAUACACCUAACAAUUAUUUUUUUAAAAAAGAAAGAAGUUAUUUGUUAUUUAAAUAAAAAAAACAAAGUUUAGGUGAAACAUUUUGUUAGUUAUCCAUCUCUUCUUUCCGAGUCAAAUGACACAUAUUUGAACAGGGAUAAAUGUUCACUUGAAUUACAACCAUUUAAACAGAUUUAUCAAGAAAGCUGCAUGUGCAGAAAUAUUUACUUGACUUUAUUUUUAUGAAUUCCUAAUAUAGCCUUGAGCGCAGACACUUCUCAACACAUGAUUCUUUUAAUUCAAGUUUUCUGUAAUUCAUAUUUUUCUAGUAAAAGUUAUUGACUAUAAUAAUAAGAAUUUAAAAUAAAUGGAAUAUUUACAAAAUAUUUGUGUGGGUUGAUCACACAGGAAUCAUUCAUUUUUAAUAUUUGAUCAAUCCCAAUAUUACUGAGCAUAUACCCUGAAUUUAAAUGUUAUACUCACACAGCUAAGUUUAAGAAAGGGGAGGGUGGUUUAGGAUAUAACUCAAUGGUAGAGUACUUGCCUAGCAUGCGUGAAACUCUCUGUUUGAUCCCCAAUACUUAAAGAAAAAAUGAAGUGACAGUUAACAUAUUUUCUUUUUUUUUUAUUUUCCAAAGAUUCCUCCCAUCCCAUUUUUAAGAUAGUUUAAACAUUCUUAAACAGAUCUCUGAAUAUUCAAAGAAAUACAAUGAAAAUAUUGGGGAGUGUUCUAGUUAGUUAGUUUUUGUUGUUGUUGUUGUUUGCUGCUGUGACCAAAAGACAUGACAAGAACAAUUUUAGAAGAGGAAAUGUUUAUUUGGGGGCUCACAGUUUCAGAGGUUUGUUUUUUUUUUUUUUUCCAUAGAUGACCAACUCCAUUGCCCUGGGCCAGAUAUGAGGAAGAACAUCGUGAUAGAAGGGCAUGACAGAGGAAAGCACCUCAGGACAUGACACCAGGAAGCAGAGUCAGAGAAAGAGAGAGAGAGAGAGAGAGAGAGACUCUCCUCCCAAUGGACAAAAUACAUACCCCAAUGACACAUCCCAAAUCACCCACCUCCUCUAGCCACACCAUAUAUGCCUACAUUUACAACCCAGUUAAUCUGUAUCAGUGGAUUAAUACAUUGAUUAGGUUAAGGCUCUUAUUUCAUCUCUAAACCCCCUUGCAGGGUCUCACACAUGAACUUUGGGUGGACACUUCAUAUCUAAACCAUAACAGGGAGGCAACAUGUUUUCCUAGUCCUUCAUUUAUUAUAAACUUUAAUUCGUAGUCAGGAAAAAGUGGAAGAAUAAUAUUUUGGAAUAAAGUUGAAAUGAUUUAAUACUUUUCAUUUUUAAAUGUAUUGUGCUUACUUCUCUCAUAUUGCUACUAAUUAAAGUGUAAGAAUCUCAGAAACAGAGAAGCAUUCCCAUAGUACUUUCUUGAACAACAGUGUCACUGAAACACAAAGGAAUGGUAAGGUAAUUUUGAUGAAAAUUUCUGAUUGUGUGCUACAUAUAGUUCUGAAAAAUGUUUAUAAUUUUAAUAAAUAAUAGUAUCAAGUUACUUCGUGGAUUAAUUGAUAUAAUAGACCCACUGGUUACUUAUAUUUUAAUUGAUACAUGAUCUAAGCAAAUCAUAAUGGAAGUCUAUAGCAAUAAGAACAGAGUUUCACAAAAAUACAUAUUCAACAACAGGUUUAAAAGUGUUCAGAGUAACUUAACAUUCAAUUUUGUUUCUCUUUCUUUCUUUCUUUCUUUUUUUUGGUUUGUUUGUUUAAACUAUAUAUUUUAUUAAUUAUUCAAGAAAUUAUAAAUAUAAAUUUUAAAAUGUGAAAGGAUGACAUGCAGAUC
This 5780-nucleotide long non-coding RNA is filed under the name Marmota monax (woodchuck). The record is from RNAcentral. Lineage: Eukaryota; Metazoa; Chordata; Mammalia; Rodentia; Sciuridae.